This 2799-nucleotide ribosomal RNA is filed under the name Klebsiella pneumoniae. The record is from RNAcentral. Lineage: Bacteria; Pseudomonadati; Pseudomonadota; Gammaproteobacteria; Enterobacterales; Enterobacteriaceae.
UUGCCUGGCGGCACUAGCGCGGUGGUCCCACCUGACCCCAUGCCGAACUCAGAAGUGAAACGCCGUAGCGCCGAUGGUAGUGUGGGGUCUCCCCAUGUGAGAGUAGGGAACUGCCAGGCAUCAAAUAAAGCAGAAAGCCCGGUCAAAAGACCGGGCUUUUUGUUUUUGCGUUUAAAAAGAACCCCGUCCCGAAAGGUGCGGGUUUUUUUGCUGUGUGGGGUAUAUCUCCCCCGGUGGCGCUGCGCUUACCGGGGCUACAAAAGCGUAGCCCGGACAAAGUGCGCAGCACCGCCUCCGGCGAGAAUUACGCCAUGUUCGCUCCAUUAUCUCCUUUCAACGCAAAAUAAAACCCCGUCAUGGCAAUCCCUUCGCCAUAAUCCACUUUUUCCCUGCCCCUGCGCUGGCGAUGAUCGCGAAAACCGUGCUUGCGAAAAAAAAUGUGAAUCCAAUCACAUAUAAAAAAAUAACAAUUAUAUAACAUUUAGUUUACUAAUUAAUUUGUCUGCGUGACGUGGUACGCCCGACAAGACAGAUUGCAGUCUUUGCUGGAGCAAUAUAACAAUGACAGAAAGUAGCAUUACCGAACGGGGCGCGCCGGAACUGGCCGAUACCCGUCGUCGUAUUUGGGCAAUUGUUGGCGCUUCCUCGGGGAAUCUGGUUGAAUGGUUUGAUUUUUACGUUUACUCAUUCUGCUCGCUCUAUUUCGCGCACAUCUUCUUUCCAUCCGGAAAUACCACCACCCAACUGCUGCAAACGGCAGGCGUAUUUGCCGCCGGAUUUCUGAUGCGUCCUAUCGGUGGAUGGCUGUUUGGUCGGAUCGCUGACCGCCGGGGACGUAAAACGUCCAUGCUUAUCUCGGUCUGCAUGAUGUGCUUUGGCUCACUGGUGAUUGCCUGUCUGCCGGGUUAUGCGGUGAUCGGCUCCUGGGCCCCGGCGCUUCUGCUGCUGGCGCGUCUGUUCCAGGGGCUGUCUGUUGGCGGAGAAUACGGCACCAGUGCGACCUAUAUGAGUGAAGUCGCGGUGGAGGGUAAGAAAGGCUUCUAUGCCUCCUUCCAGUACGUUACGCUGAUUGGUGGUCAACUGCUGGCUGUAUUAGUGGUUGUGGCGCUCCAGCAGGUGCUUANNNNNNNNNNNAUCAGAAGUGCGAAUGCUGACAUAAGUAACGAUAAAGCGGGUGAAAAGCCCGCUCGCCGGAAGACCAAGGGUUCCUGUCCAACGUUAAUCGGGGCAGGGUGAGUCGACCCCUAAGGCGAGGCCGAAAGGCGUAGUCGAUGGGAAACAGGUUAAUAUUCCUGUACUUGGUGUUACUGCGAAGGGGGGACGGAGAAGGCUAUGUUAGCCGGGCGACGGUUGUCCCGGUUUAAGCAUGUAGGCUGGUUAUCCAGGCAAAUCCGGAUAAUCAAGGCUGAGGUGUGAUGACGAGGCACUACGGUGCUGAAGUAACAAAUGCCCUGCUUCCAGGAAAAGCCUCUAAGCAUCAGGUAACAUCAAAUCGUACCCCAAACCGACACAGGUGGUCAGGUAGAGAAUACCAAGGCGCUUGAGAGAACUCGGGUGAAGGAACUAGGCAAAAUGGUGCCGUAACUUCGGGAGAAGGCACGCUGGUGUGUAGGUGAAGUCCCUGCGGAUGGAGCUGAGACCAGUCGAAGAUACCAGCUGGCUGCAACUGUUUAUUAAAAACACAGCACUGUGCAAACACGAAAGUGGACGUAUACGGUGUGACGCCUGCCCGGUGCCGGAAGGUUAAUUGAUGGGGUUAUCCGUAAGGAGAAGCUCUUGAUCGAAGCCCCGGUAAACGGCGGCCGUAACUAUAACGGUCCUAAGGUAGCGAAAUUCCUUGUCGGGUAAGUUCCGACCUGCACGAAUGGCGUAAUGAUGGCCAGGCUGUCUCCACCCGAGACUCAGUGAAAUUGAACUCGCUGUGAAGAUGCAGUGUACCCGCGGCAAGACGGAAAGACCCCGUGAACCUUUACUAUAGCUUGACACUGAACAUUGAGCCUUGAUGUGUAGGAUAGGUGGGAGGCUUUGAAGCGUGGACGCCAGUCUGCGUGGAGCCAACCUUGAAAUACCACCCUUUAAUGUUUGAUGUUCUAACGUUGGCCCCUUACCGGGGUUGCGGACAGUGUCUGGUGGGUAGUUUGACUGGGGCGGUCUCCUCCCAAAGCGUAACGGAGGAGCACGAAGGUUAGCUAAUCCUGGUCGGACAUCAGGAGGUUAGUGCAAUGGCAUAAGCUAGCUUGACUGCGAGCGUGACGGCGCGAGCAGGUGCGAAAGCAGGUCAUAGUGAUCCGGUGGUUCUGAAUGGAAGGGCCAUCGCUCAACGGAUAAAAGGUACUCCGGGGAUAACAGGCUGAUACCGCCCAAGAGUUCAUAUCGACGGCGGUGUUUGGCACCUCGAUGUCGGCUCAUCACAUCCUGGGGCUGAAGUAGGUCCCAAGGGUAUGGCUGUUCGCCAUUUAAAGUGGUACGCGAGCUGGGUUUAGAACGUCGUGAGACAGUUCGGUCCCUAUCUGCCGUGGGCGCUGGAGAAUUGAGGGGGGCUGCUCCUAGUACGAGAGGACCGGAGUGGACGCAUCACUGGUGUUCGGGUUGUCAUGCCAAUGGCACUGCCCGGUAGCUAAAUGCGGAAGAGAUAAGUGCUGAAAGCAUCUAAGCACGAAACUUGCCCCGAGAUGAGUUCUCCCUGAGACUUUAAGUCUCCUGAAGGAACGUUAAAGACGAUGACGUUGAUAGGCCGGGUGUGUAAGCGCAGCGAUGCGUUGAGCUAACCGGUACUAAUGAACCGUGAGGCUUAACCUU